Molecule: small nucleolar RNA, 111 nt
Filed under: Microcebus murinus (gray mouse lemur)
Lineage: Eukaryota; Metazoa; Chordata; Mammalia; Primates; Cheirogaleidae
Description: Small nucleolar RNA SNORA20 (ENSMICG00000021792.3)
Rfam family: Small nucleolar RNA SNORA20
About the family: ACA20 is a member of the H/ACA class of snoRNA that guide the sites of modification of uridines to pseudouridines.
Source: Rfam by way of RNAcentral
UUUCUUAGAAAACAGAGCUGGAAGUUAUACACAUGGGAUAAAAUAAUACUGGGCCAUUAUAAAUUGAGGUGAAGUAACCAUUUUCAUCUCUUGUGCAUGGACUAGACAUUG